CUUUUCAGAGAAGGUCUCGAAUCCUGAAGACAGACUUCGAGGGGAUGAUGCAGCAAGAAGACCCACACCAGAUGAGGGCGCCUUGAUAUUGGAUUUCCCAGCCUCCAGAACUAAGCCUGGGACUUGCCUCUGUGAUCUGGUGCUUUGGAGGGCCUUGGGCCUCAGGGCUAGCAAGGUCCCUUUCUGGAGAUUCCAGUUCCUCUGCCCGCCCUCCUUUACCUCUUUCUCCUCACACAUCUGUCUGAGGGAUGGGGAUGAGGGCUGCCAACCAAUGUUACCACUUGACAGACCACAAGAGGGCUGGUUCCAGUGCCUCCCUUGUUCAGCUGCUGACACUGCAGCUUGGCAGUCAUUGAAGGCAAUAUUUAGCUCCUACAUCUGACCUGAUUGGAAGAUCAGGCUUCUGUCGUCCUGGUUUCCUGGCCUUGGAUAGUUCUUCACUAACUUUUAUUCAUUAAGGCAGUGGGCAGAAAGCAGCAGAACCCUGUUUUUUCUUUUUUUGGGGUUUUUGUUGUUGUUGUUGUUGUUGUUUUGUUUUUUUUUGAAACAGGGUCUCCCUCUGUCACCCAUGCUGGAGUGCAGAGGUUCUGUCAUAACUCACUAUAGCCUCGACCUCCUGGGCUCAAGCAAUCUUCCCACCUCAGCCUCCUGAGUAGCUAGGGACCACAGGUGCAUGCCACUAUGCCUAACUAAUUUUUGUAUUUUUUUGUAGAGAUGGGGUUUUGCCAUGUUGCCCAUGCUGGUUUUGAACUCUAGAACUCAAGCAAUCAGCUGGCCUCAGCCUCCCAAAGUACUGAGAUUACAGGUGUGAGCCACUGUGCCUGGCCAGAACCUGUUUUUUGUUUGUUUGUUUUUGUUUUGUUUGUUUGAGGCGGAGUUUUGCUCUUGUUGCCCAGGCUGGAAUGCAAUGGCGCGAUCUCGGCUCACCGCAACCUCUGCCUCCUGGAUUCAAACAAUUCUCCUGCCUCAGCCUCCCAACCAGCUGGGAUUACAGGCAUGCGCCACCACGCCCAGCUAAUUUUGUAUUUUUAGUAGAGAUGGGAUUUCACCAUGUAGGUCAGGCUGGUCUCGAACUCCCAACCUCAGGUGAUCUGCCCGCCUCGGCCUCCCCAAGUGCUGGGAUUACAGACGUGAGCCACCGCGCCCAGCCCAGAACCUGUUUUUUAAUUUAAAAUUCUUAUUUAAAAGUUCUGUACAUUUUGAGAAUUCUUAAAACCUUCACACAUUUAAUUUAAAUAGCAGCAGAGAUAUCUGGUUCCUGGUAAUGUGAACAGGAUGGCUUGAUACAAGCUCCCUGCUCACUGCAUUUCCUCACUUCCUAAAUUCCUAGGGAUGUACCUCCAGUGAAUAAUAGUUUUUACCACCUGUACAUAUACAGGGUCAGCGGCCAUGGCUCCUUGCUCACCCAUUAACUAAGAUCACAUCCUACAUACAGUACCAGACUUAGAGCCAGAGCCCUGGUCAUGGCCUCCUAGGUUCUCACACUUGACUUUUACUCAAUCAUUUCACCAUUUAGGCUUUAUAAAAAGGGGAGACUGGCCGGGCGCGGCGGCUCAUGCCUGUAAUCCCAGCACUUUGAGAGGCUGAGGGAGGUGGAUGACCUGAGGUCAGGAGUUUGAGACCACCCAACAUGGUGAAACCCUGUCUCUACUAAAAAUACAAAAAUUAGCCAGGUAUAGUGGCACAUGCCUGUAGUCCCAGCUACUCUGAGGCAGCUGAGGCAGGAGAAUCGCUUGAACCUGGGAGGCGGAGGUUGCAGUGAGCCGAGAUCAUGCCACUGUACUCCAGCCUGGGUGACACAGUGAAACUCCAUCUCAAAUAAAUAAAUAAAUAAAAUGGGGGAAUUAUAUGACUGUUAGGGUCCUCCAGAUCUGAUACCCAGGACUGUAAUCUAAAGACUUGAUUAUGUUCAUUAAUACAUGGCAAUUUCAUUCCUUUCCUAAGAAUUACUAUCCAAAGAUCAUCCCUAAGCCCUUCCUACAAGAAACUGCCCCUUUUACAGAAUGAAUAAAGUUGUCCUAGAUUCCCGUUUUUUCCUCACUUUUUCUCAUAUCUCUAAGUGACAGUAUCCGGAGACAGCUCAGAAAGCUGGAUUUUUAGCUUUUCGUCAUAGGGCUUGUAUAUGUACAUGCAUGCAUGCACAAAUGUAUGUAUAUGUUCAUUCUUAAAGGGAUAUGGGCCAUGGGCACCUUCACUCUGUGGCCCCCCACCUCCCACCAGCCCUACUUGAAUUUUAGUAAAUAGUAAUUAAAUGCCAGGACCAGGCACAGUGGCUCACACCUGUAACCCCAGCAUUUUUGGAGGCUGAGGUGGGUGGAUCACCUGAGGUCAGGAGUUCGAGACCAGCCUGGCCAACAUGGUGAAACCCUAUCUCUACUAAAAAUACAAAAAUUAGCCGGGUUUGGUGGCACACAACUGUAAUCCCAGCUACUUGGGUGGCUGAGGCAGGAGAAUCACUUGAACCUGAGAGACGGAUGUUGCAGUGAGCCAAGAUCGCACAACUGCACUCCAGCCUAGGCGACAGAGCAAGACUCCAUCUCGAAAGAAAGAGGGAAGGAAGGAAGGGAGGAAGGAAGGAAGGAAGGAAGGAAGGAAGGAAGGAAGGAAAAAGAAGAGAAAAGGAACUCCAUCUCUACUAAAAAUACAAAAAAAUUAGCCAGGCAUGGUGGCGGGCACCUGUAAUCUCAGCUACUUCAGGAGUCUGAGACAGGAGAAUUGCUUGAACCUGGGAGGCCCUUGCAGUGAGCUGAGAUUGUGCCACUGCACUCAGCCUGGGCAACAAGAGUGAAACUCCGCCUCAAUGAUAAAUAAAUAAAUAAAUAAAUAAAUAAAUAAAUAAAUAAAUAAAUGCCAGGAUGCCUAGAAGAACAAAAGAGUAUGUACUAAGAGGCCAGAUAUAUGAGUGCAGCUGUAGUGAUAAGGAGGCCAUUGGGAUAGCCAAUGUCACAUAGGUCUAAAGUUUGGUUUUAGCUAGAGCUUUCUUCUACCCUAAUACUGCCCCCAUGUCCUGACAGCGGGUAUUGCAGCAAAUCCUGGACUGCAGCCAGAAGCUCUGGUCUCUACAUCAGCUUCUCCAUUUGAAACAUCUCAGAAUUUGAAUUUUGACUACUCUGGUGUUAACAUCAAAAUGCAUUUCAUGGGCCGGGCCUGGUGGCUCACGCCUGUAAUGCAGCACUUUGGGAGGCCAAGGCAGGCGGAUCACGAAGUCAGGGGAUCGAGACCAUCCUGGCCAACAUGGUGAAACCCUGUCUCUAUUAAAAAUACAAAAAAUUAGCCGGCGUGGUGGCAGGCACCUGUAGUCCCAGCUAUUCAGGAGGCCUCAGCAGGAGAAUUGCUUGAAGCCAGGAGGUAGAGGUUGCAGUGAGCUGAGAUCGUGCCACUGCACUCCAUCCUGGGCGACAGAGCGAGUUUCCAUCUCAAAAAACCAAAAUCAAACAAACAAAAAAACCCACAAAAAACCAAAAUGCAUUUUAUAGUGUUAAAGAAAACAUAUUUAUGUGGCAAUUUCUACACAUUUUUCUUCUGCAUUACUUCAUUUAAUCCUUCUCUCAAUCCUGAGAGCAAAGGACAGAAAAUGUUGUUCCCACUGUUUUCCACUGUUUGGUUUUGGUUUGUUUCCUUUCUUUUUUUUUCUUUGAGACAGGCUCUUGCUCUGUCACUCAAGCUGGAAUGCAGUGGCAUGAUCAUAGCUCACUGUAGCCUUGACUUCUUGGGCUCAAGUGAUCCCACCUCAGCCUCCCAAGUAGCUGGGACUACAGGCACACACCACCACAUCUGGCUAAUUCUUUUUUAUUUUUAGUAUAGACGAGGUCUCACUAUGUGACCAGGCUGGUCUCCAACUCCUGAGCUGAAGCUAUCCUCCUGCCUCAGCCUCCCAAAGUGCUGGGAGAUCUGGCCCUUGUUUUUUGUUUUUGUUUUUGUUUUUUAUGAGAUGGGUGGCUGUUGCCCAGACUGGAGUCCCGUGACACGAUCACAGCUCACUGCAGCCUCGACCUCCCCAGGCUCAGGUGAUCCUCUCACUUCAGUUUUUUUUGUAUUUUAGUAGAGACAGAGUUUUGCCAUGUUGCCCAGGCUGUUCUCGAAUUCCUGAGCUCAAGGGAUCUGUCUGCCUCAGCCUCCCAAAGUGCUAGGAUUACAGGCAGGAGUGAGCCACUGUGCCUGGCCCCUUGCUGUUUUUUUGUUUUGUUUUGUUUUUGUUUGUUUGUUUUACAGCAAAUAAAAAUGCAGUCUGGAUUUUAAGGGCCACACAGCAGCAAGAACUAAAACCUGGGUCUCCAAGGUCCAAGUCCAGGACUUCUCUAUGACACCCUACUGCAGCCCUUUGCUGGAUACCAUACAAAGCAAAUUGAGCAGAUGUGUUCUCUGCCCUCUGAAAGUUUGGACUCAAAUGGACAGCCACAAUUCUGGCAAACAUAAAAGGACAAAGUGAUUUAGUGUCAACUCACAUACGCAAUAAAUAACUGAGUUAAAUAGAUAAGGAAAGGCAUGUUCACCUGGUCUACUGAUAUUUUUUAAAUUCCAGUUGAGUAGAGAGCAAUGUUAAUAAGACUAAGGUUUUGGGCCAGUCCCAUUUUUGCCUACUUGCUUUGCACCUGGAAAAAUAUUUGUAACUGCAUGCAAACUCUUUCCCCUCCUCGUCUUCAACAAUCUGUAAACUUUCCCUGAGCAGCUACCAAGUGUAACACAAAGUGGGAAUGAAGGACCAUUAAGAAAUCAUCUCUGUGCCAUGCGCGGUGGCUCAAGCCUAUAAUCCCAGCACUUUGGGAGGCCGAGGCGGGUGGAUCACCUGAGCUCGGGAGUUCAAGGCCAGCCUGGCCAAUAUGGUGAAACCCUGUCUCUACUAAAAAUACAAAAAAAAAAAAAAAAAAAAAAUAGCUGGAUAUGAUGGCAUGUACCUGUAGUCCCAGCUACUCAGGAGGCUGAGGCAGAAGAAUCGCUUGAACCCAGGAGGCAGAGGUUGCAGUGAGCUGAGAUUGCUCCAUUGCACUCCAGCCUGAGAAACAAAAGCAAAACUCUAUCCCCACCCCCCCCAAAAAAAAGGAAGGAAAAGAGAAGAAAAAAAGUCAUCUGUGCCCUCGAGCAACAUCUUUAACCAUUCGCCUAAUUCAAACCACUGGGAUGAAAAUGUAUAUCCUGUAUAUACCAUCUCUACUGCUGGGAAAAAAGACACGUCAACUCAAUACCCAUCCUAUUUUUAGACGGCCUGAGAUUCGUCCUUAUCCAUGCAGGGCAGUCGGGUAGGACAAUGAAGAGGUGGACUUCUGAAUUUGAGAGAAAUUGGUCUUAUCCCAGAGAAGUGAGGCCACCACCCACCUGCAAUAGCUUGGCUUCCUGGAUCCCUAAGCAAAGACAGAGUCUUGCUCUGUCACUCGGGCUGGAGUACAGUGACACAAUCACGGUUCACUGCAGCCUGGACCUCCCAGGCUCAAGUGAUCCCCCUGCUGCAGCCUCCUGAGUAGCUGGGACUACAGGCCUGUGCCACCAUGUCCAGGUCCGGUCCACUGCUAGGAGAUCCAUAUCUACUCUUUGGGAGUUCUCCAGAGGAAAAAAUCAACAGGCGGGAGAAAGAUACUCUGCUAGCUUCAGAUUCAUUAGUACUAGGAAAUGGAGAGAUAGGAGGUAUAAUGUAUUAGGGAAGCAAGGGAUUCAGAACCAGGUGCCCACUGACUCUGAGAAGCACUGGGUGCACAGAGGGUAGCAGACAAGCAAGAGGGUGGAAUUUGCAGCAUCUCAUCUUGGUGAGACAGUUGGAAGACUUUUCUGCCAAUUAUAGUGGUUAAACACUGACUCAACAUCAAACAACGGCAUGAGGGGUCAGAGCCUUCAUUCGUGGACAAGUUUCAAAAACAUGGGAGCACCACCUGUCAUGAGCAAUUUAGUCAGAACAGAAGAGAAUAGAUCACACCCAACAAGACAGAAAAAGCUGCUUUCUGGAGAGGGCGGGAGCUAAUAUUUCCUAACACGGUGAAAUUGUGAAGUGCUUUUUGCAGCCCUUCAUAAUUUCAUCAUCCAAAGGGUUUGCUUUUGGAAUUCUUAGACACUUAAUUCUGUCCCUGCUUUCCGUGUCACUUCCACGGGACACUGAAUUUGGGAAGAGGGAGACCUCACCAAUGAUGGGAAGAACAGAUUGGGGGCUGGCGCCCUUUUGGGUUUGCCAUGUGAACAUCCUCCUGGAACAGUCUCCAUUCUGUCCCAGCAAGACACACUCUGCUCUGUGAAGAACCCAGGUGGGAAAAAAAAAAAAAUCUAUGAGGCCACAGUGGAAAUGCAGCUCAGCAGGACUCUCAGGUACCCCAAAAUUGUCCCAUCUGACAACUCACCACAUUCUAUUUAUUUAUUUAUUUAUUUAUUUUGAGAUGGAGUCUCACUGUGUCACCCAGGCUGGAGUGUAGUGGCGUGAUCUAGGCUCACCGCAGCCUACGCCUCCCAGAUUCAAGCGAUUCUCCUGCCUCAGCCUCCCAUGUAGCUGAGACUACAGGCAUGCGCCACCACACCCAGCUAAUUUUUGUAUUUUUAGUAGAGAUGGGGUUUCGCCAUGUUGCCCAGGCUGGUCUCAAACUUCUGACCUCAGGUGAUCCACCCCCGCCCCUCAGCCUCCCAAAGUUCUGGGAUUACAGUCAUGAGACACUGCACCUGGCCAACACAUUCUGUUUUCAUCAUUAGUGCCUGUCCUCCCUGCUAGCUCAUGGGCUCCCCCAGAGCAGGCAUGUUUGCCCUAGUCACCAUCAAAACUGUCUUAGUACCUGUCACGGUGCCUGGCACAUAGCAGUUAUUCAGUAAAUGUUUGUUGAAUAAAUCAACUAUAAACAUCAAAAUGAUUCCCUUAAAAAGGUCUUCAUUCUUGUUCAGAUGUAGAGAGUUACAUUACAAACACUUGUGUGCUGGGGAUAGGAAGGGACACUGUUGGGUAAUAAUAAGUGCUUGAAACAUGUGGGAGGGCCCUGGAAAAUAGCCCAAAAAGUUCACAUUGUAUCUGAUAAGCAACAGGGAGCUACUGCAGGUUCUUCAGGUCACCAGUAGGCAAGCAGGUGGUGGCUUUCCAGGCUGAAAAGUGUAUUUGAUCUGGAAGAUAGUAGGAUCACAGACAAACAGUGAGUCUUGGAGUAGCCUGAUCACAGUGGCAAGCUCAAGAGACAAUUUUAUGGCUGAGGGCUGAAUGUUUCAGCUGGGUGGGUGUCAAGAAACCAGCAAGACUCCAGGCAUGGUGGCUCAUGCCUGUAAUCCCAACACUUAGGGAGGCCGAGACAGAGGAUCCCUUAAGCCCAGGAGUUUGAGACCAGCCUGGGCAGUAUAAGGAAGCCCUGUCUCUACAAAAAUAAAAACAUAACAAAAUUAGCCAAGUGUGGUGGCGUGUGCCUGUGCUUCUAGCUCCUUCAGAGGCUGAAGUGGGGAGGAUCACUCGAGCCUGGGAGGUUGAGGCUUCACUGAGCUGUGAUCAUGCUGCUGCACUCCAGCCUGGGCGACAGAGUGAGACCCUGUCUCAAAAAACAAACAAACAAACAAGAAACCCAGCAAGAAUUAAGAAUUCUGGUGAGC
RNAcentral lists this long non-coding RNA (7536 nucleotides) under Homo sapiens (human). Its description in RNAcentral is "non-protein coding lnc-NGFR-3:16". Lineage: Eukaryota; Metazoa; Chordata; Mammalia; Primates; Hominidae. The record is from RNAcentral.